UACGAAGGGGGCUAGCGUUGCUCGGAAUCACUGGGCGUAAAGCGCACGUAGGCGGAUCCUUAAGUCGGGGGUGAAAUCCUGGAGCUCAACUCCAGAACUGCCUUCGAUACUGAGGAUCUCGAGUCCGGGAGAGGUGAGUGGAACUGCGAGUGUAGAGGUGAAAUUCGUAGAUAUUCGCAAGAACACCAGUGGCGAAGGCGGCUCACUGGCCCGUAACUGACGCUGAGGCACGAAAGCGUGGGGAGCAAACAGG
Molecule: ribosomal RNA, 253 nt
Filed under: uncultured bacterium
Lineage: Bacteria
Description: partial 16S ribosomal RNA
Rfam family: Bacterial small subunit ribosomal RNA
Source: RNAcentral